RNAcentral lists this ribosomal RNA (440 nucleotides) under uncultured bacterium. RNAcentral's name for it is "partial 16S ribosomal RNA". It matches the Rfam family "Bacterial small subunit ribosomal RNA", at positions 338 to 795 of the family's 1533-position model. The record is from RNAcentral.
CCUACGGGACGCAGCAGUGGGGAAUAUUGCACAAUGGGGGAAACCCUGAUGCAGCGACGCCGCGUGAGUGAAGAAGUAAUUCGUUAUGUAAAGCUCUAUCAGCAGGGAAGAAAAUGACGGUACCUGAGUAAGAAGCCCCGGCUAACUACGUGCCAGCAGCCGCGGUAAUACGUAGGGGGCAAGCGUUAUCCGGAUUUACUGGGUGUAAAGGGAGCGUUGACGGCAGUGCAAGUCUGGAGUGAAAGGCGGGGGCUCAACCCCCGGACUGCUCUGGAAACUGUACGGCUGGAGUGCAGGAGAGGUAAGUGGAAUUCCUAGUGUAGCGGUGAAAUGCGGAGAUAUUAGGAGGAACACCGGUGGCGAAGGCGGCUUACUGGACUGUAACUGACGUUGAGGCUCGAAAGCGUGGGGAGCAAACAGGAUUAGAUACCCUGGUAGUC